AUUGAACGCUGGCGGCAUGCCUUACACAUGCAAGUCGAACGGCAGCACGGGUGCUUGCACCUGGUGGCGAGUGGCGAACGGGUGAGUAAUACAUCGGAACAUGUCCUGUAGUGGGGGAUAGCCCGGCAAAAGCCGGAUUAAUACCGCAUACGAUCUACGGAUGAAAGCGGGGGACCUUCGGGCCUCGCGCUAUAGGGUUGGCCGAUGGCUGAUUAGCUAGUUGGUGGGGUAAAGGCCUACCAAGGCGACGAUCAGUAGCUGGUCUGAGAGGACGACCAGCCACACUGGGACUGAGACACGGCCCAGACUCCUACGGGAGGCAGCAGUGGGGAAUUUUGGACAAAGGGCGAAAGCCUGAUCCAGCAAUGCCGCGUGUGUGAAGAAGGCCUUCGGGUUGUAAAGCACUUUUGUCCGGAAAGAAAUCCUUGGCCCUAAUACGGUCGGGGGAUGACGGUACCGGAAGAAUAAGCACCGGCUAACAACGUG
Molecule: ribosomal RNA, 486 nt
Filed under: uncultured bacterium
Lineage: Bacteria
Description: partial 16S ribosomal RNA
Rfam family: Bacterial small subunit ribosomal RNA
Source: RNAcentral